UAUACUGCAGCGUAUAAGCUAAGGUGAACUUAUUACAUUAAUGAGGCAGUUAAAGGUUGUAAACCUUGAAUGGAGAAAGUGCGGGACGUCCUGCUAAUUGUGGUUUACUAACGUUGUCUUUAUUUGGAGCUGCUGUAGUCACUGAGGGAUCAUACCAGAGUGAAUUUCAAAGAUUCCCUAACGUCUACCAAGGCUUUUUGUCCAGUUUUCUCCUGUGAAAAAAACAAUGAGGAAACACGUUGCCCUCCUGCUCAUUCUUUUCCCCGUGUGUGGACAUCUGCUGGACAUCAAGUUUUAUAAUGACCCUUACAAGUAUACCUGGGCAGAGGCAGAAGCAUUCUGCAGGGAGCACCACACUGACUUGGUCCAAGUGAGAACUGCAGAAGAGAAUACGGCUUUACAAUUCUCUGGAUGGAUAGGUUUGUCCCGGAAGGAUGCAACGAGUCCAUGGAAUUGGUCCAGAGGAGGCGAAAUAACCAUCUUCACACAAUGGGAUGGUGGUGCACCAAAAAAUGAUGAAAACUGUGUGAACAGAAAAAGCGACGGAAAAUGGGAAAGCAAGAAGUGUGAUGAAAAAAUAAAUUUUCUAUGUUAU
Oreochromis aureus is the source of this 595-nucleotide long non-coding RNA. The record is from Ensembl. Lineage: Eukaryota; Metazoa; Chordata; Actinopteri; Cichliformes; Cichlidae.